Penaeus chinensis is the source of this 1251-nucleotide RNA transcript. It is a transcript of the gene named trans-1,2-dihydrobenzene-1,2-diol dehydrogenase-like, with no coding region annotated. NCBI's taxonomy places the organism in Eukaryota, Metazoa, Arthropoda, Malacostraca, Decapoda, Penaeidae. The record is from RefSeq and is a predicted model, not a curated record. The transcript is spliced from 8 exons.
CUCUUCGUUUAUGUGCCGCCGAGGCCGUCCUCCCUCCUCUGGCCUCCUCGCGCCGCCUUGGUAACAGCGCCCAGACGGCCACGGCGCCACUCCCCUCCCGCGCACUCCGGCUGCGGCACCAGGAAGAGCGCUUAUAGCAAAAUGGCAGCCACGCGAUGGGGAAUCGCCAGCGCAGGCAUGAUUGCCAGUGACUUCGUGAGUGCUUUGAAGGCGCUUCCGGCAGAGGAGCAUCGAUUAGUUGCAGUGGCGGCGCGCUCCCUCGAAAGCGCCCAGGCCUUCAGGGACAAGCACUGCGUCGAGAAGGCUUACGAGUCGUAUGCCAGACUGGCAGAAGACCCAGAAAUAGAUGUGGUGUACGUAGGAGUGAUUCAGGUGCACCAUUUGGCCGUGGCUUCCAUGAUGCUGGAGGCAGGAAAGCACGUGCUGUGUGAGAAGCCUCUCUGCAUGAACGUCCAAGAAACGAAACAGCUGAUCAACCUUGCUAGGGAGAAGGAGGUCUUUCUCAUGGAGGCGGUGUGGUCCCGAUUCUUUCCCGUUUAUCGCGAGAUGAUGAAGAGGGUCGCAGCUGGAGAAAUCGGUGAUGUGGUUCAGGUUCUUGCUUCCUUUGGCAAAUCUGCAGAGCACGUGGAACGCCUGGUGAGGAAAGACACGGGUGGAGGAGCCACACUAGACAUGGGGAUUUACACCGUUCAGUUUGCCACGCUGGUGAUGAACGGUGACAAGCCCCUGAAGGUGCUAGCCGGAGGUCAUCUCAACCAGGAGGGUGUAGACGUGGUGACAAGCGCCACCCUCGUGUAUCCGAAGGGCCGGACGGCCUCGCUCAGCACCACCAUAAGAGCUGAUCUUCCGAGCGAGGCCUUCGUCGUGGGGACGAAAGGCACAAUCAAGGUCAGGAGCAUUCUUCCUCUCUGGUCAAUUACCCGAUGUGGUGUCCCGAAUCCUUCGAAUCGCCCUCUGGGACAUACACUUCGCCCUUGCCAGUGACAGGUCAGACAUACAACUUCAAUAACAGUCAAGGUCUCAUGUAUGAGGCAGCCGAGGUCAGGCGUUGCAUAAACGCAGGUCUGCUAGAGAGCCCAGGGAUGACUCACGGGGAUUCCAUAACCAUAGCCGAGAUCAUGGAGCAGAUGAGGGCACAGGUGGGAGUCAUUUAGAAACAGGAGAAGCAGUCCCCGUGCGCCAGACGCUUUUCCGAAAUUCUACGUCUUCAGAAAUGUUUUGAAAGAUAUUCUCAAAUAAACUUUACAGAGA